This 250-nucleotide ribosomal RNA is filed under the name uncultured bacterium. Its description in RNAcentral is "partial 16S ribosomal RNA". It matches the Rfam family "Bacterial small subunit ribosomal RNA", at positions 1250 to 1500 of the family's 1533-position model. The record is from RNAcentral.
CGAUACCGUGAGGUGGAGCGAAUCACAAAACCCGGUCUCAGUUCAGAUUGCAGGCUGCAACUCGCCUGCAUGAAGUUGGAAUUGCUAGUAAUCGCGAAUCAGAAUGUCGCGGUGAAUACGUUCCCGGGCCUUGUACACACCGCCCGUCACACCAUGAGAGCCGAUAACACCCGAAGCCUGUGAGCUAACCGUAAGGGGGCAGCAGUCGAAGGUGGGGUUGGUGAUUGGGGUGAAGUCGUAACAAGGUACC